This 434-nucleotide ribosomal RNA is filed under the name uncultured bacterium. RNAcentral describes it as "partial 16S ribosomal RNA". It matches the Rfam family "Bacterial small subunit ribosomal RNA", at positions 29 to 507 of the family's 1533-position model. The record is from RNAcentral.
AGCGAACGCUGGCGGCAGGCCUAACACAUGCAAGUCGAACGAACCUUUCGGGGUUAGUGGCGGACGGGUGAGUAACACGUGGGAACGUGCCUUUAGGUUCGGAAUAACUCAGGGAAACUUGUGCUAAUACCGAAUGGGCCCUUCGGGGGAAAGAUUUAUCGCCUUUAGAGCGGCCCGCGUCUGAUUAGCUAGUUGGUUGAGGUAAUGGCUCACCAAGGCGACGAUCAGUAGCUGGUCUGAGAGGAUGAUCAGCCACAUUGGGACUGAGACACGGCCCAAACUCCUACGGGAAGCAGCAGUGGGGAAUCUUGCGCAAUGGGCGAAAGCCUGACGCCGCCAUGCCGCGUGAAUGAUGAAGGUCUUAGGAUUGUAAAAUUCUUUCACCGGGGACGAUAAUGACGGUACCCGGAGAAGAAGCCCCGGCUAACUUCGUG